This 425-nucleotide ribosomal RNA is filed under the name uncultured bacterium. Its description in RNAcentral is "bacterial SSU rRNA". It matches the Rfam family "Bacterial small subunit ribosomal RNA", at positions 354 to 796 of the family's 1533-position model. The record is from RNAcentral.
GUCGGGGAUAUUGCACAAUGGGCGAAAGCUUGAUGCAGCAACGCCGCGUGGGCGAUGAAGGCCUUCGGGUCGUAAAGCCCUUUUCUGGGAGAAGAGACAGGACGGUAUCCCAGGAAUAAGUGUCGGCUAACUACGUGCCAGCAGCCGCGGUAAUACGUAGGACACGAGCGUUAUCCGGAUUCACUGGGCGUAAAGAGCGUUGAGGCGGUUCUGUAAGUUGGACGUGAAAGCCCCUGGCCUAACUGGGGGAUGCCGUUCAAUACUGCAGGACUUGAGGGCAGCAGAGGGAGGUGGAAUUCCCGGUGUAGUGGUGAAAUGCGUAGAUAUCGGGAGGAACACCAGUGGCGAAGGCGGCCUCCUGGGCUGCACCUGACGCUGAAGGCGAAAGCUAGGGGAGCGAACGGGAUUAGAAACCCCUGUAGUCC